UGGCGGCCUUAGCGCGGUGGUCCCACCUGACCCCAUGCCGAACUCAGAAGUGAAACGCCGUAGCGCCAAUGGUAGUGUGGGGUCUCCCCAUGCGAGAGUAGGGAACUGCCA
Molecule: ribosomal RNA, 111 nt
Filed under: Escherichia coli
Lineage: Bacteria; Pseudomonadati; Pseudomonadota; Gammaproteobacteria; Enterobacterales; Enterobacteriaceae
Source: RNAcentral